ACGGAGGGUGCAAGCGUUAAUCGGAAUUACUGGGCGUAAAGCGCACGCAGGCGGUUUGUUAAGUCAGAUGUGAAAUCCCCGGGCUCAACCUGGGAACUGCAUCUGAUACUGGCAAGCUUGAGUCUCGUAGAGGGGGGUAGAAUUCCAGGUGUAGCGGUGAAAUGCGUAGAGAUCUGGAGGAAUACCGGUGGCGAAGGCGGCCCCCUGGACGAAGUCUGGCGCUCAUGUGCGAAACUGUGGGGCGCCACCAG
This 251-nucleotide ribosomal RNA is filed under the name uncultured prokaryote. Its description in RNAcentral is "partial 16S rRNA". It matches the Rfam family "Bacterial small subunit ribosomal RNA", at positions 525 to 775 of the family's 1533-position model. The record is from RNAcentral.